GUUGAGGUGGCAGAGUACGGAUAGUGCAAAAGAUUUAAGCCCUUUAAACAGAGGUUCAACUCCUCUCCCCAACU
This 74-nucleotide transfer RNA is filed under the name Jaydia carinatus (ocellate cardinalfish). Its description in RNAcentral is "tRNA-Leu". It matches the Rfam family "tRNA". Rfam says of the family: Transfer RNA (tRNA) molecules are approximately 80 nucleotides in length. Lineage: Eukaryota; Metazoa; Chordata; Actinopteri; Kurtiformes; Apogonidae. The record is from RNAcentral.